CCUACGGGUGGCAGCAGUGGGGAAUAUUGCACAAUGGGCGCAAGCCUGAUGCAGCCAUGCCGCGUGUGUGAAGAAGGCCUUCGGGUUGUAAAGCACUUUCAGCGGGGAGGAAGGCGUUAAGGUUAAUAACCCUGUCGAUUGACGUUACCCGCAGAAGAAGCACCGGCUAACUCCGUGCCAGCAGCCGCGGUAAUACGGAGGGUGCAAGCGUUAAUCGGAAUUACUGGGCGUAAAGCGCACGCAGGCGGUCUGUCAAGUCGGAUGUGAAAUCCCCGGGCUCAACCUGGGAACUGCAUUCGAAACUGGCAGGCUAGAGUCUUGUAGAGGGGGGUAGAAUUCCAGGUGUAGCGGUGAAAUGCGUAGAGAUCUGGAGGAAUACCGGUGGCGAAGGCGGCCCCCUGGACAAAGACUGACGCUCAGGUGCGAAAGCGUGGGGAGCAAACAGGAUUAGAUACCCGGGUAGUC
This 465-nucleotide ribosomal RNA is filed under the name uncultured Klebsiella sp. RNAcentral's name for it is "bacterial SSU rRNA". It matches the Rfam family "Bacterial small subunit ribosomal RNA", at positions 338 to 795 of the family's 1533-position model. Lineage: Bacteria; Pseudomonadati; Pseudomonadota; Gammaproteobacteria; Enterobacterales; Enterobacteriaceae. The record is from RNAcentral.